Clupea harengus (Atlantic herring) is the source of this 4059-nucleotide RNA transcript. It is a transcript of the gene named zinc finger DHHC-type palmitoyltransferase 18a, with no coding region annotated. The record is from RefSeq and is a predicted model, not a curated record. NCBI's taxonomy places the organism in Eukaryota, Metazoa, Chordata, Actinopteri, Clupeiformes, Clupeidae. The transcript has 10 exons.
CUGCUGUUUCAAACAUCACAUGUUGCCUGUACAAGUAUUUGCGUCUCUUCAUCAAGUCACCUCCACCAGUGUUGUGUUCCGUGCAUGUCGUUACUAGCUGACAACGGAGCCAGAGCUGCCAAAAGACGUGAUUCUACCUCAAGCAGCUAUCAUAUAUAUACCCGGCUAGCUACAAUUUCUCAUCAACCUGGUCCUAAUAUUUCAUCUACGACGCGGUCACACAUUCAGCGGACGAUUUCUGAUUGAUAACGUGAGAUAACUAACGUUGAAGGAGCUGAAAGAGUCACAGCUAACGUUAAUGAAUCGUUGAUGAAAGGCAUAUUCUGAUUCCAAGAGCUAAUGUUACGCUAAGCUGCUUGUUAGCUGCUACACGGGUAACGUUAUGCCUGUUAUUAUCCAAAAGCCAGAAGUAGUGGAUAAUAUCACCUAUAGUUUGCUGUGAAUAGGAUGCGUGAACAGAAUCUACUUUAAAUAAGUGACCUUUUAGAAAUUGUUCGAGAUCUUUUCAGAUCACGAAUUGGCUAACGUUACAGGCUCUGCAAUAUUGGGUAACUUGGUCGGCUAUCCUUUAUUAGCGUAGUGAGCUAGACAUCAGUUAGCUUGCUGGCUAAACGUAAACAAUAACUAUACGGUAAGACUAGCCAAUUCAUAAAGCUGUCUAAAUGAUCCUUCAGUGUGUCCAGUUAGUUAUCGUAACAUAUUGGAGCUUGCUAGUUAGCUAGCAGUAGUACCGGUAGCUUUCGGCUAUAUUAGCUUGCGAAAGUAGCUGAAGGUAUGUAGCCAUCGUUACAUUAGUUGUAGUUCACGUCAUGUGCGAUCUACUUUCCCGUCUCUCAUUACCAAGUAGGUUUUUAGCCUACAAGCUAAUUGUUGUCAAAUUUAUUAUAGCAACAUAAUUAUAUUAUUUACGUUAUCUCUGUGUUAAGUGACAUAUUGUGGAUGAGCUAGAUAGCAAGCUUGUUUGUCAGUCAUUUAGGUGUUAACAUCAACGCUAGCUAACUCAUUGUGUGAAUUGCAAGUUCAUACAUGUCAGUAUUCGUAUUUGCCGGAUAGUGUAAACAUCAAGUCAGGCACUGAGUGAACCUUUCUCAAACCAUGAAAAACUGUGAAUACCAACAAAUUGAUCCACGGACACUGACUACACCAACGGCAACACCUACGUCAACGCUACCGCUUGCUAGUAAAAAUGUCCAGCGACAGCGGAGAAAGUGGGAAGUGUUUCCCGGGAGGAAUCGUUUCUUUUGUGAUGGACGGAUUAUUGUUGCCCGUCAAAGCGGUGUGCUACCAUUGACUCUUGGCCUUAUCCUUAUCACCAGUGGCCUAUUUUUUAUAUUUGACUGCCCCUUUCUGGUGGCACAUCUGACUGUAUGCAUCCCAGUCAUUGCUGGAGUGCUGUUUGUGUUCGUGGUCUUUUCUCUCUUACACACCAGCUUUACAGACCCUGGCAUAUUGCCGAGGGCCUUGCCAGAUGAGGCUGCCGACAUUGAGAAGCAGAUAGAUAACUCAGGCUCCUCCACCUACCGCCCACCACCACGAACGAAAGAGAUCCUCAUCAAUGACCAGGUGGUUAAGCUAAAAUACUGCUUUACCUGCAAAAUGUUCCGGCCCCCUCGCACAUCACACUGCAGCCUGUGCGACAACUGCGUGGAGAGGUUUGACCAUCACUGCCCCUGGGUCGGAAACUGUGUUGGCAAGCGAAACUACCGCUUCUUCUACACCUUCAUUGUGUCCCUCUCUUUCCUGACCUCCUUCAUAUUUGGCUGCGUGAUCACCCAUCUCACAUUGCGAGCCCAGGGAGGCAGCGGUAUCCUCAAUGCUGUUCAGCAGAGUCCUGCCAGUAUUGUGGAGUUGGUGGUCUGCUUUUUCUCCAUAUGGUCUAUUUUGGGCCUGUCAGGCUUCCAUACGUAUUUGGCAGCCUCAAACCUCACCACCAAUGAGGAUAUCAAAGGGUCAUGGUCGAGCAAAAGGGGGUUAGAGGACUAUAAGAAUCCCUACAGCUACAACAACAUCUUCACCAACUGCUGUGUGGUGCUUUGUGGACCCAUGCCUCCCAGUAUGAUAGACAGAAGAGGUUUCUUGCCUCCAGAGGACACUCCGCCCAUCAUUACCGCAGAGCAGGAGCUUCCGCCUUUCUUGUCCAAGAACGACACAAACAUGGAGGAGACCUGUCAGGACUUUUCCCUGUCCUGCACUGGCUGAAGGGAAGUAUGCCCUCUCCGCUGGGCAUAGGAGGGGGCAGCAGGGAUGGUAAGGGGUGCACGCAAGGCACCAAGGAGCUUCUUGAGACGGUGGCUCACUCCCCCAUAUUUCAAAGCCAGUGCUCGCCCGCCACCCCCAAAACGGUCCCCGUAAGCCCCAGCCAGCAGGACACGCGCCCGAUCGCCGUCUCCAGCCCGCAGGGGUCCCGUGCCCCCUUGCCCUCGACACCCACUGGUUGCUCAGGGCGCCAGGCCCGGGAGACGCACCCUUGCCCCCCCUCGAAGGGCUUCCUCGCCCGCAAUACCAGCUGCAUGCUGGGCAGCCUGGCCUACCUGCACCCUCACGGUACCCUCAUCUUCAGCGACUCCUCGGAGCUCGGCUUCCUGCCUCUGCCGUAGAGUCUCCGCGUACCAAACACACGCUUCAACCUACGGACACUGAACUGCGUAUGUGGUUACAAUAACAGUCCUUGAAUGCUCUGUUCCACCCUCACCCCCCCACCCCCUCCUUUUGGCUUGAUUACUGUCUCAAGCCUGAGAAUGUGGUUCUUGGUUGCCACCCUGAACACAGACUACAAGGGUUUCCUCCCCAAAGCACCGAACAGUUAAUAUAUGGGUACUGAAACCCUGUACACUGAACUGAACACUUUGUUACUCCCUUCAACCCCAAACUCUGAAGUCGGUCUAAGCAUGCUCUCGGCCACAAACUCAAAGAGAGAGGUGCUGUUCAGAAAGCCAUUGUACAUGCAGAAUGACAGCACACUGACUCCAGAGGACUGCUGAUAGCAUCAGGGCAUGGUUAUGGGCGCGAUGUGUUGUCUGUCUUGAGUUGUUAUUGUUGUUAUUAUUAUUAUUAUUAUUAUUAUUAUUAUUAUUACUGUUAUUAUUUCUAUUUCAUUUUCAAACUCAGGAUUCUCUUGUGAGAGAUGCCAUAUAUCCUUAAAUCCCAGUCCCAGGAUUCUUAGUAAGGAAAGUGACGGUAAGCGACUGUAUCCACACAAGCCUCACCACAACACUAAAGCACAAAACAAAACAUUUUCACAAGAUUUUUCUCUCCCACCCUGACGCACAGUCACAGAGCCUCUGAGGAAGGCUGUCCUGAGCCACCUGAAGCAGCCUUUGCACCGUCGCUGGUCAGCCUCUGCCCCAAGCAUCCCAAUAAGGCACUUUUAACCUGGUCAAAGUAUACUGCUGGAUAGGACUGGGAGUGCACUCCAGGGAUGUAGGGAUCCUAUAGGGGUGAUCUGUCCUGGAGCAGAUGAUUUCACUCCUUGUUUGUGGGCCUCUGAUAUCUGUGUGUCCCUGACUGUUGGGAUCACUGAUGUUGGGCUAAUAAGAAUUCGGUUGAUGUGUGUGAGGUAUGACAGGUUUGUACUUUUCUAGGUCAGGGAUGUACAGCGUUAGGUUUUCUGCCGAACAUUUUCUGCUCUAUUUUUUAUUUUUUUUCCGAACAAAUAAUGCCCACCAUGUUGUGGACUGAUGUGUAUAUUUGCUUUUUUUAUAUUCUUGUCUGAAUUAUGUUACGGUCUACUACAGGAAAAUAGGAUAAAUCAAGCAACUGAGGAAACCGUAUGAAAUGUAGAGUCUGCUUAGCAGUACAUUGAUGAUGCAGAAUUGAAACUGGAAUGUUGGCCUUCUUAUGCUAAUACUCAUGAUGAUGAUUUUUUGUAAUGUAAUUGGUUACCCAGCACACAACACCACACCUCUGGCCACCACUGUCCGUUCACUUUCCCCCGUCUCACAGUUCCCUGUCUCAUCCCACUCUGGGUCAAAAUGACUUUUGGGAUGAGGAACAGACUUGCCACUGCCAACAUGUAUUUGCUGCCUAGUUUUGAUGGGACAGUAAAUAGAUUUAAACAAU